AUGCCCAAGCGGCGUCGCAGCAUCGGCGGGUCCACAGACUGGAGAGCCGGGCUGCUGCCGCCGACCACCACCACAACCUCCUCCUCCUCCGCGCAGAAGGGCAACGACGGCCACGCGCGUGUGAAGCGAGGCGCGCGGCUCGAAGAGGCCGGCGUCGUGCACUUCCUCGCCGCGCUGGAGCGGACGUGGAAGAAGAUGGUGGCGGGCGCGUCGAGGAUGUUCGUGGAGAGGCACCGGAGCAGCCACAUGCAGCUCAUCAGCAACAUGGUCUAG
RNAcentral lists this ribosomal RNA (273 nucleotides) under Triticum aestivum (bread wheat). RNAcentral describes it as "partial small subunit ribosomal RNA". Lineage: Eukaryota; Viridiplantae; Streptophyta; Magnoliopsida; Poales; Poaceae. The record is from RNAcentral.